GUUGAGGCGAAGUCGGCGAUGCUGAUCAGAGUUGAAACAGUCGGUGGACGCACCUCCACGCGCUGAUGAGUGAAGAAACGGCGAGAACCUAAGUUGAGCGCGUGAGCUUCACGCGCUUGGAUUACGGCAACCGGAUCAGAGGGGACGGCCAGUCGGCGGCCAAGGUCUCUCCUGAACUGGGUGGUGAGAACAAAUAGCCACCCUAG
This 206-nucleotide unclassified non-coding RNA is filed under the name Hevea brasiliensis (rubber tree). The record is from RNAcentral. Lineage: Eukaryota; Viridiplantae; Streptophyta; Magnoliopsida; Malpighiales; Euphorbiaceae.